AUAUCAAUAAGCGGAGGAAAAGAAACUAACCAGGAUUCCCCUAGUAACGGCGAGUGAACCGGGAAUAGCUCAGACUGAAAAUCUUCGGAAUUGUAGUCUGGAUGAGCUAAAUCAGUUGUGCUAAGUUUGUAAAGUCUUCUGGAAUGGAGCACCACGGAGGGUGAUGGUCCCGUUCAUACUCACUUAGCAUGGCGUACGAUUAGCUUUAUAAGAGUCGAGUUGCUUGGGAUUGCAGCUCUAAUCGGGUGGUAAAUUCCAUCUAAAGCUAAAUAUUGGUGGGAGACCGAUAGCGCACAAGUA
Molecule: ribosomal RNA, 300 nt
Filed under: uncultured Mallomonas
Lineage: Eukaryota; Synurophyceae; Synurales; Mallomonadaceae
Description: partial large subunit ribosomal RNA
Rfam family: Eukaryotic large subunit ribosomal RNA
Source: RNAcentral